Molecule: small nuclear RNA, 109 nt
Filed under: Diaphorina citri (Asian citrus psyllid)
Lineage: Eukaryota; Metazoa; Arthropoda; Insecta; Hemiptera; Psyllidae
Description: U2 spliceosomal RNA
Rfam family: U2 spliceosomal RNA
About the family: U2 is a small nuclear RNA (snRNA) component of the spliceosome (involved in pre-mRNA splicing).
Source: Rfam by way of RNAcentral
AUCGCUUCUCGGCCUUUUGGCUAAGAUCAAAGUGUAGUAUCUGUUCUUAUCAGCUUAAUAUCUGAUACGCGCCUCAUCGAGGUGCUACUCUUUCUUUCCAAGACUGCUU